Molecule: ribosomal RNA, 448 nt
Filed under: uncultured bacterium
Lineage: Bacteria
Description: SSU rRNA
Rfam family: Bacterial small subunit ribosomal RNA
Source: RNAcentral
AGAGCGAACGCUGGCGGCAGGCUUAACACAUGCAAGUCGAGCGGGCGUAGCAAUACGUCAGCGGCAGACGGGUGAGUAACGCGUGGGAACAUACCUUUUGGUUCGGAACAACCCAGGGAAACUUGGGCUAAUACCGGAUAAGCCCUUACGGGGAAAGAUUUAUCGCCGAAAGAUUGGCCCGCGUCUGAUUAGCUAGUUGGUGAGGUAACGGCUCACCAAGGCGACGAUCAGUAGCUGGUCUGAGAGGAUGAUCAGCCACAUUGGGACUGAGACACGGCCCAAACUCCUACGGGAGGCAGCAGUGGGGAAUAUUGGACAAUGGGCGCAAGCCUGAUCCAGCCAUGCCGCGUGAGUGAUGAAGGCCCUAGGGUUGUAAAGCUCUUUUGUGCGGAAGAUAAUGACGGUACCGCAAGAAUAAGCCCCGGACUAACUUCGCGCCAGCAGCCGC